RNAcentral lists this ribosomal RNA (464 nucleotides) under uncultured bacterium. Its description in RNAcentral is "bacterial SSU rRNA". It matches the Rfam family "Bacterial small subunit ribosomal RNA", at positions 355 to 825 of the family's 1533-position model. The record is from RNAcentral.
UGGGGAAUAUUGCGCAAUGGGCGAAAGCCUGACGCAGCGACGCCGCGUGGGGGAUGAAGGUCUUCGGAUUGUAAACCCCUUUCGGGAGGGAAGAUGGAAUGGGGUAACCCAUUCGGACGGUACCUCCAGAAGCAGCCACGGCUAACUUCGUGCCAGCAGCCGCGGUAAUACAGAGGCCACGAACGUUGUUCGGAAUCACUGGGCAUAAAGCGCACGUAGGCGGCUAGGUCCGUCCAAUGUGAAAGCCCCCGGCUCAACCGGGGAAUUGCAUCGGAUACAGCCUGGCUUGAGGACGGUUGGGGUGAGUGGAACUCCUGGUGGAGCGGUGAAAUGCGUAGAUAUCAGGAGGAACACCGGUGGCGAAAGCGGCUCACUGGACCGUAACUGACGCUGAGGUGCGAAAGCUAGGGGAGCAAACGGGAUUAGAUACCCCAGUAGUCCCUGAGCGGGCUGGCAAGGCGCAU